This 837-nucleotide long non-coding RNA is filed under the name Homo sapiens (human). RNAcentral's name for it is "HSALNT0322104". Lineage: Eukaryota; Metazoa; Chordata; Mammalia; Primates; Hominidae. The record is from RNAcentral.
UCUGACGAUUAUGUGUCUUGGGGUUGCUCUUCUCGAGGAGUGUCUUAGCGGUGUCCUCUGUAUUUCCUGAAUUUGAAUGUUGGCCUAUUUUGCUAGGUUGGGGAAGUUCUCCUGGAUAAUAUCCUGAAGUGUGUUUACCAGCUUGGUUCCAUUCUCCCCACCACUUUCAGGUACACCAGUCAAUCACAGAUUUGGUCUUUUCACAUAGUCCCAUAUUUCUUGGAGGCUUUGUUCAUUCUUUUCAUUUUUCUUCUCUAAUUUUGUCUUCACGCCUUAUUUCGUUAAGUUGAUCUUCAAUCUCUGAUAUCAUUUCUUCCACUUGAUCGAUUCAGUUAUUGAUACUUGUGUAUGCUUCACAAAGUUCUCGUACUGUGUUUUUCAGCUCCAUUAGGUCAUUUAUGUCCUCCUCUAAACUGGUUAUCCUAGUUAGCAAUUCCUCUAACCUUUUUUCAAGGUUCUUAGCUUCCUUGCAUUGGGUUAGAACAUGCUCUUUUAGCUCAGAGGAGUUUGUUAUUACCCACCUUCUGAAGCCUUCUUCUGUCAAUUUGUCAAACUCAUUCUCUGUCCAGUUUUGUGCCCUUGCUGGAGAGGAGUUGUGAUCAUUUGGAUGUGAAGAGGCAUUCUGGUUUUUGGAAUUUUCAGCAUUUUUGCACUGGUUUUUCCUCAUCUUCAUGGAUUUAUCUACGUUUGAUCCUUGGUGCCGAUAGCCUUUGGAUGGGUUUUGUGUAUGGGUGUCUGUUUUGUUGAUGUUGAUGUUAUUCCUUUCUGUUUGUUAGUUUUUCUUCUAGCCGUCAGACCCCUCAUCUGCAGAGGCUGCAGAACAGCAAAUAUUGCUGC